GGUGGCUCAGUGGUAGAGCACUUGCCUUGAACACUUGAGGCCCUGGGUUCGAUUCCUCAGCACCA
Molecule: transfer RNA, 65 nt
Filed under: Dipodomys ordii (Ord's kangaroo rat)
Lineage: Eukaryota; Metazoa; Chordata; Mammalia; Rodentia; Heteromyidae
Rfam family: tRNA
About the family: Transfer RNA (tRNA) molecules are approximately 80 nucleotides in length. Their secondary structure includes four short double-helical elements and three loops (D, anti-codon, and T loops). Further hydrogen bonds mediate the characteristic L-shaped molecular structure. tRNAs have two regions of fundamental functional importance: the anti-codon, which is responsible for specific mRNA codon recognition, and the 3' end, to which the tRNAs corresponding amino acid is attached (by aminoacyl-tRNA synthetases). tRNAs cope with the degeneracy of the genetic code in two manners: having more than one tRNA (with a specific anti-codon) for a particular amino acid; and 'wobble' base-pairing, i.e. permitting non-standard base-pairing at the 3rd anti-codon position.
Source: Rfam by way of RNAcentral